ACUACGGUGCGCGGCAGUGAGGAAUAUUGGUCAAUGGCCGUAAGGCUGAACCAGCCAAGUCGCGUGAAGGAAGAAGGAUCUAUGGUUUGUAAACUUCUUUUAUAGGGGAAUAAAGGUAUCCACGUGUGGAUAUUUGCAUGUACCCUAUGAAUAAGCAUCGGCUAACUCCGUGCCAGCAGCCGCGGUAAUACGGAGUAUGCGAGCGUUAUCCGGAUUUAUUGGGUGUAAAGGGUGCGUAGGUUGUUUUUUAAGUCAGCGGUGAAAGUUUGUGGCUCAACCAUAAAAUUGCCGUUGAAACUGGAAGACGUGAGUGUGUUUGAGGUAGGCGGAAUGCGUGGUGUAGCGGUGAAAUGCAUAGAUAUCACGCAGAACUCCGAUUGCGAAGGCAGCUUACUAAGCCAUAACUGACACUGAAGCACGAAAGCGUGGGGAUCAAACAGGAUUAGAUACCCCUGUAGUC
This 460-nucleotide ribosomal RNA is filed under the name uncultured bacterium. Its description in RNAcentral is "partial 16S ribosomal RNA". It matches the Rfam family "Bacterial small subunit ribosomal RNA", at positions 338 to 795 of the family's 1533-position model. The record is from RNAcentral.